RNAcentral lists this transfer RNA (72 nucleotides) under Candidatus Moraniibacteriota bacterium. Its description in RNAcentral is "tRNA-His". It matches the Rfam family "tRNA". From Rfam's summary of the family: Transfer RNA (tRNA) molecules are approximately 80 nucleotides in length. Their secondary structure includes four short double-helical elements and three loops (D, anti-codon, and T loops). Further hydrogen bonds mediate the characteristic L-shaped molecular structure. tRNAs have two regions of fundamental functional importance: the anti-codon, which is responsible for specific mRNA codon recognition, and the 3' end, to which the tRNAs corresponding amino acid is attached (by aminoacyl-tRNA synthetases). tRNAs cope with the degeneracy of the genetic code in two manners: having more than one tRNA (with a specific anti-codon) for a particular amino acid; and 'wobble' base-pairing, i.e. permitting non-standard base-pairing at the 3rd anti-codon position. The record is from RNAcentral. Lineage: Bacteria; Candidatus Moraniibacteriota.
GUGACUAUCGUUCAACGGUUAGGACUGCGGUUUGUGGUACCGCUAAUCUGGGUUCGAUUCCCAGUAGUCACC